Oreochromis aureus is the source of this 1654-nucleotide long non-coding RNA. RefSeq lists it as uncharacterized. The record is from RefSeq and is a predicted model, not a curated record. The transcript has 5 exons. NCBI's taxonomy places the organism in Eukaryota, Metazoa, Chordata, Actinopteri, Cichliformes, Cichlidae.
GUGACCUGCAGGUCUGGACAUCCCUCAGUUCAGUUCAGUCAGAGCAGCAGAGCUAAUGUCUGAACCACAGCACUGACUUUAAUCGACAUCCAAGCUCAUACAGAUUUCUUUGGUCAGAGGAGAUUUCAUUCAUGUACCCGGACUAGCUGCCUUCCUUGACCGCUAGCUAGUUAGCUAACUAGCUAAGGACGUUAGAUUAUCUUAAAAACACAUUUAACUUAGCGAAACAGUGCGGAGGGGUUUCGUUUCCUUCUGUCGGUUAUUUUCGGUUUAUUGAACAACACCUCAGGCUGUCAGUGUGUAACAGUCGGUGUGGUUUUGGAAAGGUUCAUUAUAACUAAAACAUCAUGCCAGUGUUACAGGAUACUGUUUUCUUCACGCCUGACUCAGCGGAGGAGGAUUUAAAAAACGUACUUACGAUCGUGAUCGACAGUCUGAUAUAACAGACCCCCGCAAGACAAAUCUUGGGGAAGGCUCUAUCUGAGGAGGAGGUUGUCGUCCUAUCCGCUAACGUGGAGGAGGCGGGGAUUAUGGGCUGUCCUGCGGCCGGACACCAGUGGGCGAUUCAGCGAGUAGGGAUGGCGAAAUGCUUUCUUUACCUUUUUUUAUAAUAUGUCUUCCCUUAUUUAAAAACAGAAUUGUUUUUUAACAGAGCCAUUUGUAAUGUAACUACUCGGCACCGCAAUGGAGGGGCUCAGCCGGGCUCCGCUUGCUGAUCACACUUUGAUGACAAGAGGAGUCGGAUUAACGGGAAUCAUGGCGGAGAGGAACCAGGACCAGCAGACCAUAAACCUAGAGACCAGCGACGGAGGGCAGCGCUCCGAAGCUCCCAACGAGCUCCAGGGAGAGGCCAGCUAGCCUUCAAAGGAUUUGCACCAGAGAGAAACUGUACAGCUGUGAUGAAUGUAGAUCACUAUCUACUCAAUCAGGCUCCUUGAGUCGCCAUCAGCAAAUCCAUAUGGAGGAAAGGUCAUCCAUCCAGGGAGACAGGCAAUACAUUUGAAACCAGUGUGAGAAAACCUUUACUCAGAAAGGUACUCUGGUGUGUCACAUGUUAGUUCAGGCUGGAGACAAACCACACUGGGGGAAAGAAUGCAAAGCGCUUUCAGGAAAAGGUUGAACUUGGUGCACUGUGAAAACCUUCAUGACAGGGAAUAAACUGACAGAUUAUGCUGCGGCUGACUGAGACACUCAAGUCCAGACUUUAGUGUAGACCUUUAGAGCUAAAAAUGUAUUGUGCAAGUAGUCUAUACAUGUUAGCAAGGCUGCUGAGAAGUAACCAUCAACAUAUGUGGGAUUGAAACUGAGCAGAUGAAAUGAAUCAGACGUGUGAAAAAUAUGUUUUGUUCUAAACCUCUGAGAUGAUAUAUUGAAUUGACAGUUUUCUGUGACUCCGAUGAACAAAUCAGUUGUUUAACAUUCAGUGCUUUUGUGUUUUUUGGAAGGGAGAUGUAGGAACUUACUGUUACAGUUUGACUUUGCAUCUGGAACUCUUUAGUUCUUGUUGAUCUUGCCAUAAAGUGUUUCACGAUUUUAAAGUGCAAAAUACAGUUCUAUAUUUUAAAGAAACCUCUGAGACGAGUUAUCAAUUUGACGUUGAUCUUUGACUCCAGUGAUCAAAUUAAUUGUUUGAUAUUUUGUAUUUUUGUUUCCU